UACGGAGGGGACUAGCGUUGUUCGGAAUUACUGGGCAUAAAGCGCGCGUAGGCGGAUUUGCAAGUCGGGGGUGAAAGCCCGAGGCUCAACCUCGGAACUGCCCUCGAUACUGCAAAUCUCGAGUCCGAGAGAGGUGAGUGGAAUUCCUAGUGUAGAGGUGAAAUUCGUAGAUAUUAGGAAGAACACCAGUGGCGAAGGCGGCUCACUGGCUCGGUACUGACGCUGAGGCGCGAAAGCGUGGGGAGCAAACAGG
Molecule: ribosomal RNA, 253 nt
Filed under: uncultured bacterium
Lineage: Bacteria
Description: partial 16S ribosomal RNA
Rfam family: Bacterial small subunit ribosomal RNA
Source: RNAcentral